CCAGGAUGUGUGAGAGGGGUGGUCUUCACUUUGCCGGUGGCUGGGCUCCCGACGACAAGCAUACCGGCGCUGGAAUCCCGACUGCUGGCAUACCGACAGCUUUUCUCCCUCUUGCGGGGUCCACGACCCCCUGGAGGGUGAAUAGAUAGCGUGGCGCGCACGCCACUGUGCCCGCAGUGUGUCUCAUUUGCGCUCAUCCAGCUGUCGGUAUGCCGGCGGUUGGGAUUCCCGCGCCGGUAUGCUACACCCGUGUGAGAGAGCUGGCACUGACUGUGAGGGUGUGUCCUGAGGUAAUCGCUGAGAAGAGGGUCCUGGGCUGCUGAGGUGCCACUGGCAGUGGUGGGAGGAGCAAUGACAAAAGCCCUAACAUACACUGACUGAGUAAGUGCUGUCUUGUGCUGCAUCAGUCCAGUGGUGGUGUCUUGUGCUGCAUCAGUCCAGUCACAGUGGUGGUGUCCUGUGUUGCCAUAAGUCCAGUGCUGCUGUAUAUGUCCAGUCCAGUGGUGCUGUGUUGUGCUGCAUCAGUCCAGUGGUGUUGUCCUGUGCUGCCGUUGAAAGAUCAUUGCAGAUCUAAACCAGCCAGUCACUGCCCUCUGAUCUCCUGGAUACUCCAACAGGCAGCAUGACGAUGGUGGACGGCAACUGUGUGGCAGUCAUAGCUUACCCACUCCACUCCCGUGGACUUAGUCUAUUUUAAAACAAGCAGCACCAAGAAUUUGGGGACCCAACAGAGAACACUGGAUUCCAGGAUCCUGCAUUAUGGAAAUGUUCUGUAUGGACUGCAGAUGAAUGUAUAAAUGGG
Long non-coding RNA from Pseudophryne corroboree (corroboree frog), 802 nucleotides. RefSeq lists it as uncharacterized. Lineage: Eukaryota; Metazoa; Chordata; Amphibia; Anura; Myobatrachidae. The record is from RefSeq and is a predicted model, not a curated record. The transcript has 5 exons.